CAGUUCAGAUUGCAGGCUGCAACCCGCCUGCAUGAAGCUGGAAUCGCUAGUAAUCGCGGAUCAGAAUGCCGCGGUGAAUACGUUCCCGGGUCUUGUACACACCGCCCGUCACACCAUGGGAGUCGGAAAUGCCCGAAGUCUGUGACCCAACCUUAGGGAGGGAGCAGCCGAAGGCAGGUCGGAUGACUGGGGUGAAGUCGUAACAAGGUACC
RNAcentral lists this ribosomal RNA (212 nucleotides) under uncultured bacterium. RNAcentral describes it as "partial 16S ribosomal RNA". It matches the Rfam family "Bacterial small subunit ribosomal RNA", at positions 1289 to 1500 of the family's 1533-position model. The record is from RNAcentral.